Long non-coding RNA from Vigna unguiculata (cowpea), 399 nucleotides. The record is from RefSeq and is a predicted model, not a curated record. Lineage: Eukaryota; Viridiplantae; Streptophyta; Magnoliopsida; Fabales; Fabaceae.
GUAUUAUUCUUCUGUUGGACCCAUCUUUUUCUUUGUCAUUCAUUAACUAAUUGAAGAACACCAAAAAAGUUGGAUCAAGUUUUUCUCUGUCAAAUUCAUUAACUAAUUGAGGCAAGGACAUCCAUCAAGAUUUUGGGCAAAAUAGUUCAAUGAACUCAUUGAGCAACAUAAGAAAGGAUGAAUAUGGUGGGUGUUUGAGAAGAAUAAGGGAGCCAAAAGAUGUUUGUUGAAGAUGCAAAGCUGUGCUCGAGACAUUUAUGCAAUUCCUAAGAAUAAAAGAGCACACAAACUAAUGCAGAAAAUUUAAUCUUUGGGUAGAACAUUUAUGUUUGACAGAGGUUGGAAAUGGCAUGUUGGAGAAGGUCUGCAUGGGAAGAUACAACAUUCAUUUAAUUAGUG